UAGUAUGCUAUUAGGUUGGUGCUAAAGUAAUUGCACUUUUCAACCAUUACUUUUAAUGGCAAAAACUGCAAUUACUUUUGCACCAACCCGAUA
This 93-nucleotide microRNA precursor is filed under the name Chlorocebus sabaeus (green monkey). RNAcentral describes it as "miRNA (ENSCSAG00000020816.1)". Lineage: Eukaryota; Metazoa; Chordata; Mammalia; Primates; Cercopithecidae. The record is from RNAcentral.